This is a long non-coding RNA of Helicoverpa armigera (cotton bollworm), 1111 nucleotides long. RefSeq lists it as uncharacterized. The transcript is spliced from 2 exons. The record is from RefSeq and is a predicted model, not a curated record. NCBI's taxonomy places the organism in Eukaryota, Metazoa, Arthropoda, Insecta, Lepidoptera, Noctuidae.
GCAAGAGGUCUCACGUUAUUUCCAAAAGUGUAUUACGUAUUGUUUUGUACCAAAAAGUUAAAAAAUAGUGUGUUUUAACUCUAAAAAUGGAUAACUUUAGACGUCUAUUACUUAAGAUUAUAAUUUUGACCGCCAUCAUAGCCAUUCUACACGCCAGCUACGCAGACGCAAAGAAACACAAAAAGCAUUCGUUGCAACUAUCAGAAAGACAUUUGGAAUAUCUAGAAAAAAUGCACAAUAAAGCGAAGAGAAGCACAUAUGGGAGGAAUUGGGGAAAAUCGAACUAUGGCAAUUAUGGUUUGCCACCAUACUUAGUUUAUAACAGAAAAAGUGGAUCAUACUUUCCGUAUUUCCAGUACCCCGAAAACAGCAUACGACGAAGCAUGAGAAAAUCUUACAAUACAAGAAAAUAUAGUUGAAUUGUGCACAAAUUAAUGAUUUCAUAGAAAUCGUGAAAACAACAAAAAAACCCUUAAAUACUAUUUAAUUGCUAUUCUAAGAAAACAAAAUUAGUUCCUUCAUGGUAUUUUAAAAAUAUUGCCAAAUUACUGUCUGAGUGCAUUAUAAAAUAUCCGUGAAUUAAGAAAAAAACAUGAAUCCUGCUAGAUGUUUUUAGCGAGAUUCAUGUUUAGACCAUAAAAGGUUCUAUGUAAUAUAUUUGUAUAUCUCAGCGUAACGAAUAAUAAAUGAUUUAAUUAAGUCAGUUUAGCGAUAUUCCAACAGUCCAGAACAAUAUUUUAGAAAAACAAAGGAAAACCUUUAAUAUAAAAAAAUACUCAGCAAUAAUAAUCUAAAAUAUAAAACAAGAUUUUGCGUGCAGCACAGCAGAAUUCAGCAGAUAGUACCAAAUAUAAAAUGUGAAAAAAAAAUGCUGGCUUUGAAGAUAAAUGUAUUAUCAAUUUGGUGUAAAUGUGAAAUUUCACACUUACAAUAAGUUUAUGAUUUCAUAGACAAUAAUAACUACUGCUUGAACACACAACUAUAUUAACAGCUAGGUAAGUAAGUAUUAGUAAUUUAUAUCCAAGUGAACUACAAUUACUUUGAAACGAGGUGCUUUUUAAUUUAUGUUUAGUUAAAUAAAAUGACUGAAUAAUGUAUAAAUAUGACUCAA